RNAcentral lists this unclassified non-coding RNA (536 nucleotides) under Hevea brasiliensis (rubber tree). Lineage: Eukaryota; Viridiplantae; Streptophyta; Magnoliopsida; Malpighiales; Euphorbiaceae. The record is from RNAcentral.
GUACAAUUCACUUGCAUCAUUCACAAAAUGAAAACAAUUAUAUGGCCAUAAUACCAAGGUGGAUAUGGGAGCGGGGGAUUCCGAGUCCAGAUAAUAGAAUACAAAAGCUGGAGAGUGGAGAGUUGAGAGCGCACCACUCACAACUCCUAAACUUCCAGCACAUGAGUUGAAGGUAGGUAGUUUCUUUGUUGGUAGAUGCAUGUUCAUCUCCAAGACAAAAGAGAUCGAUUCAGACAAGAUCUUACAAACAAGGGAUCAUCCUCAUUUUUCCAGUACAAGUAUCAUCUUUCCUCAUAUCUGCAAUUGGCUCCCUAUUCAGUGUCUGAAUCAAUAUUUAGACAUCUCCGUCUAACAGAACGGCGUUGGCGAGGAAAAUUAAAUGGACCAUCUGAUCUUCUCCUGCUCGUCAAUGAUACUCCCUCAUUCGCACCAACAACCAAUGAAGCAGUGUCAGUAAAUGCGUUCAAGGAAGAGUCUUUGGUUUGCAGCGGCUUCCCUGAGCUCAACCCAUUUGCAACUGCAGAACCCCCACCUGC